CCAAUUUUAGGCUCUAUUGGGCAUCCAGAUAUCAAUACCAGUAAUUGGAUUGGAUCAUUUACAAGAUGUUACACCUUGAACCAGAUUUAUGCUGAUCAUUCGAUCCGUAGUCACCUUGCAAAUAAAACUUCCGCCGCUGUGACUUCUGGAGAUUUCAAAGAAGACCGUGAAGAAUGACAUCAGAUUUCAUGCUCUUGCCCCCUUUGCCGCGCCCUCUCAGGGUUACCUUGGCGACUGUGUUGCUAGGGAUUACACAGUGGGAGUUGUAAGGGCCAAAGAAGAUCAGAGCUUUGUCAUUCUCCAUUCAAAGGCAAUUGUCCCUGAAAAAUGUGAAGUGCUUCAAUAUCUGAAGACCUAGGCACUGACAUAAAGGCAGACAGCUACUCCAAGUAAAAACUCAUAAUUAACUUGGUGCUCACCACUGGAUCAUUCAUUAAUGGUUAUUUCAUGAAGUAGACAAUUCUCAGGCAUUCAUUGUGUAAUACCCACAGAACCAUUAAACA
Mobula hypostoma (lesser devil ray) is the source of this 503-nucleotide long non-coding RNA. RefSeq lists it as uncharacterized. The transcript is spliced from 3 exons. Lineage: Eukaryota; Metazoa; Chordata; Chondrichthyes; Myliobatiformes; Myliobatidae. The record is from RefSeq and is a predicted model, not a curated record.